This 492-nucleotide ribosomal RNA is filed under the name uncultured bacterium. RNAcentral describes it as "partial 16S ribosomal RNA". It matches the Rfam family "Bacterial small subunit ribosomal RNA", at positions 29 to 507 of the family's 1533-position model. The record is from RNAcentral.
AGUGAACGCUGGCGGUAGGCCUAACACAUGCAAGUCGAACGGCAGCACAGUAAGAGCUUGCUCUUACGGGUGGCGAGUGGCGGACGGGUGAGGAAUACAUCGGAAUCUACUUUUUCGUGGGGGAUAACGUAGGGAAACUUACGCUAAUACCGCAUACGACCUACGGGUGAAAGCAGGAGAUCUUCGGACCUUGCGCGAUUGAAUGAGCCGAUGUCGGAUUAGCUAGUUGGCGGGGUAAAGGCCCACCAAGGCGACGAUCCGUAGCUGGUCUGAGAGGAUGAUCAGCCACACUGGAACUGAGACACGGUCCAGACUCCUACGGGAGGCAGCAGUGGGGAAUAUUGGACAAUGGGCGCAAGCCUGAUCCAGCAAUACCGCGUGGGUGAAGAAGGCCUUCGGGUUGUAAAGCCCUUUUGUUGGGAAAGAAAAGCAGCAGGUUAAUACCCCGCUGUUCUGACGGUACCCAAAGAAUAAGCACCGGCUAACUUCGUG